CUUCUUCGGGGCAGGGUGUGAUUCCCUACCGGCGGUACAGCCCGCGAACCGCAUUUGCGGCCGAUCUGGUGUGAUUCCAGAGCCGACAGUAUAGUCUGGAUGAAAGAAGA
Molecule: non-coding RNA, 110 nt
Filed under: human gut metagenome
Description: FMN riboswitch (RFN element)
Rfam family: FMN riboswitch aptamer (RFN element)
About the family: The RFN element is a highly conserved domain that is found frequently in the 5'-untranslated regions of prokaryotic mRNAs that encode for flavin mononucleotide (FMN) biosynthesis and transport proteins. This element is a metabolite-dependent riboswitch that directly binds FMN in the absence of proteins. In Bacillus subtilis, the riboswitch most likely controls gene expression by causing premature transcription termination within the 5' untranslated region of the ribDEAHT operon and precluding access to the ribosome-binding site of ypaA mRNA.
Source: RNAcentral